AUGGGGAGUAGUACAAGACGUCUCUUGUGGGAUGUGGGAAUCAACAGAGAAUACCAGAACUCUAGGGUCUGUGACUACAGAUUUCCUGGCAUUAACUACAGAGGAGAGAUUAAUAGGAAAUAUGCAUAUGAGCAUGGUGUCAAAAAGGAACUUGGUGCGUUGAAGAGUAUGCAGUAUAUGCAACUGAAGUGCUCAAUUGCACCCGUGGUUCCCAAAGCCAGUCUGCUGACCAGGAAGAAGUUGGUUGCCACAAAAGCACCUAGGUUAUCACUUCUCUAUGCUGUUCUCUAUCAGCCUCUAUUUGAUAAGCGAUUUGAGAUUAUUAAUGCAAUUUAUGAACCUACGGAAGAAGAAUGUGAAUGGAAACCAGAUGAAGAAGACGAGAUUUCGGAGGAGUUGAAAGAAAAGGCCAAGAUUGAAGAAGAGAAGAAGGAUGAAGAAAAAGAAGAGCCCAUAGGAAUUCCUGAAUUUUGGUUAACUAUUUUUAAGAAUGUUGACUUGCUUAGUGAUAUGCUUCAGGAACAUGAUGAACCUAUUCUGAAGCACUUGAAAUAUAUUAAAGUGAAGUUCUCGGAUGCUGGCCAGCCUAUGAGUUUUGUCUUAGAAUUUCACUUUGAACCCAGUGAAUAUUUUACAAAUGAAGUGCCAACAAAGGCAUAUAAGAUGAGGUCAGAACCAGAUGAUUCUGAUCCCUUUUGUUUUUGAUGGACUAGAAAUUCUGGGUUGUACAGGGUGCCAGAUAGAUCGGAAAAAAGGAAACAAUGUCACUUUGAGAAACAUUAAGAAGCAGCAGAAACACAAGGGACGUGGGACAGUUUGAACUGUGACUAAAACAGUUUCCAGUGACUCUUGCUUUAAUUUUUUUGCCCCUCCUGAAGUUCCUGAGAGUGGAGAUCUGGAUGACACUGCUGAAGCUAUCCAUGCUGCAAACUUCGAAAUCGGUCACUUUUUACCUGAGCGUAUAAUCCCAAGAUUAGUGCUAUAUUUUACUGGAGAAGCUAUUGAAGAUGAUGAUAAUGGUUAUGAUGAAGAAGGCAAAGAAGCAGAUGAGGAAGGGGAAGAAGAAGGAGAUGAGGAAAAUGAUCCAGACUAUGAACCAAAGAAAGAUCAAAACCCAGCAGAGUGCAAGCAGCAGUGAAGCAGUAUGUGGCCUUGAGGAUAACCU
This is an RNA transcript of Nomascus leucogenys (northern white-cheeked gibbon), 1165 nucleotides long. It is a transcript of the gene named nucleosome assembly protein 1-like 1, with no coding region annotated. The transcript has 4 exons. The record is from RefSeq and is a predicted model, not a curated record. Lineage: Eukaryota; Metazoa; Chordata; Mammalia; Primates; Hylobatidae.